GGAAGGUGAAUGUGCAAGGUGCACAGGCUGUCUUGAAAACAGCUCAGGCGAAAGCUGGGGGUUCGACUCCUCCGCCUUCCG
RNAcentral lists this transfer RNA (81 nucleotides) under Armatimonas rosea. RNAcentral describes it as "tRNA-Ser". It matches the Rfam family "tRNA". Rfam says of the family: Transfer RNA (tRNA) molecules are approximately 80 nucleotides in length. Their secondary structure includes four short double-helical elements and three loops (D, anti-codon, and T loops). Lineage: Bacteria; Bacillati; Armatimonadota; Armatimonadia; Armatimonadales; Armatimonadaceae. The record is from RNAcentral.